Molecule: ribosomal RNA, 215 nt
Filed under: Campeiostachys nutans
Lineage: Eukaryota; Viridiplantae; Streptophyta; Magnoliopsida; Poales; Poaceae
Description: Elymus nutans partial small subunit ribosomal RNA
Rfam family: Eukaryotic small subunit ribosomal RNA (bases 46-215)
Source: RNAcentral
GGACCAUCAUGUCGGUCGUGCCUCGGUAGGUACUGGCAUUGUUGGUUUCUCCCUUCUGACGGACCAUGAUGUCAUUUAUUUGGCGGUGUGGGGAAUCAGGAGUGUUACUUUGAAAAAAUUAGAGUGUUUAAAGCAGGCUCACGCUUGAAUACAUUAGCAUGGAAUAAUGAAAUAGGACGUUUGAUUCUAUUUUGUUGGUUUCUAGGAUUGACGUA